Molecule: ribosomal RNA, 619 nt
Filed under: uncultured bacterium
Lineage: Bacteria
Description: bacterial SSU rRNA
Rfam family: Bacterial small subunit ribosomal RNA
Source: RNAcentral
CAAGUCGAACGGCAGCACGGGUAGUUUACUACCUGGUGGCGAGUGGCGGACGGGUGAGUAAUGCGUAGGAAUUUGCCUUAAAGUGGGGGACAACCCGAGGAAACUCGGGCUAAUACCGCAUAAGCUCUACGGAGUAAAGCAGGGGAUCUUCGGACCUUGCGCUUUAAGAUGAGCCUACGUCGGAUUAGCUUGUUGGUGGGGUAAUGGCCUACCAAGGCGACGAUCCGUAGCUGGUCUGAGAGGACGAUCAGCCACACUGGGACUGAGACACGGCCCAGACUCCUACGGGAGGCAGCAGUGGGGAAUAUUGGACAAUGGGCGCAAGCCUGAUCCAGCAAUGCCGCGUGUGUGAAGAAGGCCUUCGGGUUGUAAAGCACUUUCAGCGGGGAGGAAUGACUCAAGAUUAAUACUCUUGAGAGGUGACGUUACCCGCAGAAGAAGCACCGGCUAACUCUGUGCCAGCAGCCGCGGUAAUACAGAGGGUGCAAGCGUUAAUCGGAAUUACUGGGCGUAAAGCGCGCGUAGGCGGAUAUUUAAGUCGAUUGUGAAAGCCCCGGGCUCAACCUGGGAACUGCAGUCGAUACUGGGUAUCUAGAGUAUGGUAGAGGAUAGUGGAAUU